CMUGGCAGUUCUGAAGCGGGAAACGAUGAUAGCUUGCUAUCAGGCGUCGAGCGGCGGACGGGUGAGUAAUACUUAGGAAUCUACCUAGUAGUGGGGGAUAGCUCGGGGAAACUCGAAUUAAUACCGCAUACGACCUACGGGAGAAAGGGGGCARYUUGCUGCUCUCGCUAUUAGAUGAGCCUAAGUCGGAUUAGCUAGAUGGUGGGGUAAAGGCCUACCAUGGCGACGAUCUGUAGCUGGUCUGAGAGGAUGAUCAGCCACACCGGGACUGAGACACGGCCCGGACUCCUACGGGAGGCAGCAGUGGGGAAUAUUGGACAAUGGGGGCAACCCUGAUCCAGCCAUGCCGCGUGUGUGAAGAAGGCCUUUUGGUUGUAAAGCACUUUAAGCAGUGAAGAAGACUCCAUGGUUAAUACCCAUGGACGAUGACAUUAGCUGCAGAAUAAGCACCGGCUAACUCUGUGCCAGCAGCCGCGGUAAUACAGAGGGUGCAAGCGUUAAUCGGAAUUACUGGGCGUAAAGCGAGCGUAGGUGGCUUGAUAAGUCAGAUGUGAAAUCCCCGGGCUUAACCUGGGAACUGCAUCUGAUACUGUUAGGCUAGAAUAGGUGAGAGGAAGGUAGAAUUCCAGGUGUAGCGGUGAAAUGCGUAGAGAUCUGGAGGAAUACCGAUGGCGAAGGCAGCCUUCUGGCAUCAUAUUGACACUGAGGUUCGAAAGCGUGGGUAGCAAACAGGAUUAGAUACCCUGGUAGUCCACGCCGUAAACGAUGUCUACUAGUCGUUGGGUCCCUUGAGGACUUAGUGACGCAGCUAACGCAAUAAGUAGACCGCCUGGGGGAGUACGGCCGCAAGGUUAAAACUCAAGAG
This 865-nucleotide ribosomal RNA is filed under the name bacterium SBF-B8-d0. Its description in RNAcentral is "bacterial SSU rRNA". It matches the Rfam family "Bacterial small subunit ribosomal RNA", at positions 54 to 907 of the family's 1533-position model. The record is from RNAcentral.